This 404-nucleotide ribosomal RNA is filed under the name uncultured Nitrososphaerota archaeon. RNAcentral describes it as "bacterial SSU rRNA". It matches the Rfam family "Archaeal small subunit ribosomal RNA", at positions 340 to 743 of the family's 1478-position model. Lineage: Archaea; Thermoproteati; Nitrososphaerota. The record is from RNAcentral.
CGAGAAACUUUGCAAUGUGCGAAAGCACGACAAGGUUAAUCCGAGUGGUUUCUGCUAAAGGAACCUUUUGUCGGUCCUAGAAACACCGAUGAAUAAGGGGUGGGCAAGUUCUGGUGUCAGCCGCCGCGGUAAAACCAGCACCUCAAGUGGUCAGGAUGAUUAUUGGGCCUAAAGCAUCCGUAGCCUGCUUUGUUAGUUUUCGGUUAAAUCCACUCGCUCAACGAAUGGGCUGCCGGGAAUACUGCAAAGCUAGGGAGUGGGAGAGGUAGGCGGUACUCGGUAGGAAGGGGUAAAAUCCUUUGAUCUAUUGAUGACCACCUGUGGCGAAGGCGUCGUACCAGGAACACGUCCGACGGUGAGGGAUGAAAGCUGGGGGAGCAAACCGGGAUUAGAUACCCGGGGUA